RNAcentral lists this ribosomal RNA (585 nucleotides) under Triticum aestivum (bread wheat). RNAcentral's name for it is "partial small subunit ribosomal RNA". Lineage: Eukaryota; Viridiplantae; Streptophyta; Magnoliopsida; Poales; Poaceae. The record is from RNAcentral.
AUGUGGACCUGUCUUCGUCAGCGCUAUGAGCCCUCUGGUGAUGCCUUAUACCUUUCUGUGGUUCGUCAGGAGCAUGCUCUUCAGCAGGGUGACUCUACUGUUGAUGAUUUCUAUGCACAGAGCUCUGCUAUCUGGCGCCAGCUUGAUUCUCUCCGCAGUGCUGGUUGUCGUACUUGCCCCUGCUGCCAGGCUGUCCAGGCCAAUUUGGAGUUUCAUCGCAUCUACGAGUUCCUGUCUUUGCUCCGUAAGGAGUUUGAGCCCCGGCGUGCUCAGUUGUUUGCUCGUGGCCGUAUUUCUCUCAUGGAGGCGCUUUCAGAGAUUCGUGCUGAGGAGACUCGCCUACGUGGUGCUGGUUUGCUGGAGGUUCCCUCUGUGCUCGCUACUCGGGCUUCUUCCACUCCACCUGCUGCACCGCCCCAUUCUCGCUCGAGUGCUCCGCCGCUCUUGCCCACUCCUUCUGGAGGCUCAGGUCGCCCCCGUCCACGUUGUGACUACUGCAACAAUGAUGGUCAUAUUGAGUCCCAGUGCUACACAAAGCGGAAACACCUGCGCAAGGCGCGAUCAUCCUCCUCAGGGACUUCGUCA